GUUAUACUAAUUUUAAACUUUAGUGCUUACAUGUGAGGAGGCCUAAUAUUCAUGAAACACAGAUUGAAUAUUUUUCUGCAGGACGUUUGUUCUUGAAUGCCACCUCGGGAACACAUUUAUUUUCCGACAAGGCAACUGAUGCAGGGGAAAUUCAAUUUUAGGAUACAUGCUGGUUUCCAAAGCCAUUGGGAUCACCCAUGUUCCAUCAUUGCUGAGAGGUUCAAAAUAUAAGAUUGAAUUUGUCUGCACUGGAAUGGUGACUGAUAUCAAACUGGAGAAAAGCUGGUGUUACGUCUCUUGCCCAAGGUGCACAAAGAAGCUCCAACGAACGGUGUCAUCCUUGCGUGACCUGCAGUAACACCACGCAUCAAACCAUUGCAGGAACAUCUCUAAGUGGUCGCCAUCAAGAAACCUUAGGCAUCAAAGUCUUCAAAGGUGGUCAAGAAGCCACGUAAGGAAUAAGUGAAGAUGAGGGUUGUGAUGCGGAUGGAGUACUUGCUGUUUCAAUAAUGAUUGUGUGUUAA
Long non-coding RNA from Brassica oleracea var. oleracea, 524 nucleotides. RefSeq lists it as uncharacterized. The transcript is spliced from 3 exons. Lineage: Eukaryota; Viridiplantae; Streptophyta; Magnoliopsida; Brassicales; Brassicaceae. The record is from RefSeq and is a predicted model, not a curated record.